GCGCGCGCAGGAGGCACGCGGGCCAAAGUCCUCAGAGGCGCUGCGGGCGGUGCCGAGACACCCGCGCGGCUGCAGGAGCCGCAGCUCGCACCCGCUGCAGCGCCCGCCGCAGUCAGCGCGCCCCGCGCCGCCUGCGUCCCCCACGCCCUGAGGGAGACCACCCACCCCUCGCCUGCUCCAGCGGUGCGCGCCAUGGCCCCGCGCAAGAAUGCCAAGGGCGGCGGCGGCAACAGCAGCAGCAGCAGCAGUUCCAGCAGCCCGAGCAGCUGCACCAGCGGCGGCAGCAGCAGCCCCGGGGCCCGGAAAGAGACAAAGCAUGGAGGACACAAGAAUGGGAGGAAAGGAGGACUUUCUGGAAGUUCGUUUUUCACGUGGUUUAUGGUCAUUGCAUUGCUCGGAGUCUGGACAUCGGUAGCUGUGGUCUGGUUUGAUCUUGUUGAUUACGAGGAAGUGCUGGCCAAAGCAAAGGACUUCCGUUAUAACUUAUCAGAGGUACUUCAAGGAAAACUGGGAAUCUAUGAUGCUGAUGGUGAUGGAGAUUUUGAUGUAGAUGAUGCCAAAGUUUUAUUAGAAGGACCUGGUGGGGUGGCCAAGAGGAAAACCAAGGCUAAAGGCUUUAAAGAAAGAUCUGCUCCAAAGCCAACAGUCCCACCAGAAGAGGCCGAGCCGUACCCUUGGCUGGAGGAUCAGGUCCUGGAGGGGCCAGGGCUUCCGAAUAUUGAGGAUGAAGUACAAGAACAAGUUCAGUCACUUCUUGAUGAAACGGUAUACGCAGAACAUGGAGAGGACCUACACCAAGAACAGGAUGGAGCAGCAGGAGAACUACAGCCCGAAGACGGUAUCUUUGCAGAAAGUGAUACAGAUGACAGAUACCAACCUGUGGGGACUGGAGCAGUGCAUGAAGUAACUGAAGAUAGCUACCAUGUAGAAGAGACAGCUUCACCAGCCUACAGUCAGGAUAUGGAAGACAUGAUAUAUGAACAGGAAAAUCCAGAUUCCAGUGAACCAGUGGUAGAUGAUGCUGGAAGAAUGUAUCAACAAGCAGAUGACAUCACCUACCAAGAGUAUGAUGAGCAAGCGUUUGAGCCAUCGGAAAAUGAAGGGACAGAAAAUUCAGAUAAUGCUGUAGAUGACUCAAACACAAUUUUAGAAGAGGUGCACGUGCCCCAUGCGGAGGAACAGCGAGAAGUACCACCAGAAACAAAUAAGAAAACAGAUGAUCCAGAAAAAAAAGAAAAAGUGAAGAAAAAGAAGCCUAAACUAUUAAAUAAAUUUGAUAAGACUAUUAAAGCUGAACUCGAUGCUGCAGAGAAACUCCGUAAACGGGGAAAAAUUGAGGAAGCAGUGCAUGCGUUUGAAGAACUGGUUCAGAAGUACCCUCAGAGUCCAGGAGCGCGAUACGGGAAAGCAAAGUGUGAAGAUGAUUUGGCUGAGAAAAGGAGGAGCAAUGAGGUUCUGCGCAGGGCCAUCCAAACCUACCAAGAGGUGGCCAGCCUGCCUGACGUCCCCGCAGACCUGGUGAAGCUGAGCUUGAGGCGGCGGUCAGACAGACAGCAAUUUCUAGGUCACAUGAGGGGUUCCCUGCUCACUCUGCAGAAAUUAGUUCAACUAUUUCCUGAUGAUACUUCCUUAAAGAAUGACCUUGGAGUGGGGUACCUCUUGAUAGGAGAUAAUGAUAGUGCCAAGAAGGUUUAUGAAGAGGUUCUGAAUGUGACACCUGAUGACGGUUUUGCUAAAGUGCAUUAUGGCUUUAUUCUGAAGGCACAGAACAAGAUCGCUGAGAGCAUCCCCUAUCUAAAGGAAGGAAUAGAAUCUGGGGAUCCUGGCACUGAUGAUGGGCGAUUUUAUUUCCACCUGGGGGAUGCCAUGCAAAGAGUUGGAAACAAAGAGGCAUAUAAGUGGUACGAGCUUGGGCACCAGAGGGGCCACUUUGCAUCUGUGUGGCAGCGCUCACUCUACAACGUUCAUGGACUGAAAGCCCAGCCGUGGUGGACCCCCAAGGAAACGGGCUACACGGAAUUAGUGAAGUCCUUAGAAAGAAACUGGAAGUUAAUCCGAGAUGAAGGCCUUGCAGUGAUGGAUAGAGCCCAGGGCCUGUUUCUGCCUGAAGAUGAGAACCUGAGGGAAAAGGGUGACUGGAGCCAGUUUACACUGUGGCAGCAAGGAAGGAAAAAUGAAAAUGCCUGUAAAGGAGCUCGUAAAACCUGUUCUUUACUAGAUAAAUUCCCCGAGACGACAGGAUGCCGAAGAGGACAGAUCAAAUAUUCCGUCAUGCACCCGGGAACCCACGUGUGGCCGCACACGGGACCCACGAACUGCAGGCUCCGAAUGCACCUGGGCUUGGUGAUUCCCAAGGAAGGCUGCAGGAUCCGGUGUGCCAACGAGACCAAAACUCUGAUGCCCUAGAAGAUGGGGGAGCCCCAGAAUGCAAGGAGCCCCAGCCUAUGAGCCACUUGCUGGAGGAGAGAUCCGUGCUUAGUGGAGCUGCCUACCAAGGACAGCAGGUCACUGCUCUCAGCCUGCUAACGACACCCAAGUAGAUCUACAGCAGUCAUGUUUCAGCCCAAGAGUGACUGAAGUACAGGCAGUGUCUCUCAUUGAGAUGAAUAGCACCAGGAUCCCAGAAGCCCAAGAUGAAAGACUGCUUGGAGACAGAAGCCCAGCUUUCCAGCUGUCACAACUGAACCCAAUUCACAGCUGACCCUACAGCUGAUGCAGGCAUAUCUCCUGCUGGGACUGUUUGGGAUGACCCCUCAGAAGACAAAAAAGGAGUAAACAAAAAAGAAGAGAAAGAUGCUGAUGUCAAAGACAAGUUCAGCAGAUGUGCUGUCACUGACAUGAUGCCAUCCUCUGAUCUCAAAACAAAGAACAAAAUCCCUCUGAAUUCUCACCAGACGUGCCUGUGAACCUGUACAGCUGAUGGGUGAGUACUAUCUUCCUGGACAGUCGAGCAGCAUCCUACGACAUGCUUUAAAAACGCAAGGCAGUGAGAACCGCUGUCAAAAGGUGAAAGAAAAGAGAAGCAGCAGUGAUUAGACACAACAAGAGAGCAUCCCUUGUCUGAAAAAUGUGAACUGUGGCAUCCUCCCUUUCGCCAGGGCUUUCUGUCUCUCUGGAUUGGUGCAGUGGACAAGGACGUUGUGCAGAGACGUCUCCUGAACCCCAACCUGGCCCCAAACUAUAUCCUUUCUACUCUCCUCUUUUAGUUUAUUUAUAAUUCCUCUGAAAUUAACUUUAUUACUCAAGGGAUAGUUAGCCUGUAUGGGAUUCUAAAACAGUACGGCUUAGCCAAUGCCUCACAACCUCUUUCACAUCAGCACACUCAGAACAAAUGACAGUAUUUGGACAACACAGCAAGGGAAAUGGAGGAGGCUGGCCAAGGGUCCCUGGGCCACCCCCUGGGAAGCAGUAUCUGAGCACACAUCACUUGGAAGCACUGACUUAGAUCAGGGAGCUCAAGCCACAGGUACUUGAUUCUUGUAGGACAGGAAAACAUGCAAGACUCACUUUUAUGAUAUUAUCAGGGCGCCAGCAUGUAGAUUCUGGGGUCCAAUACUUCCAUCCUAGAGCUACUGAAUCCAAAUUCAAGUAGUCGGGGAGAUCUGGGGAUCUGAAUUUAUGCAAGCUCCUCGUGUCGUCUUCAUGCGGGUUAAGGCUGCAAACCUCUGUGUUUGGUGUCUCCAUUCUCAUCACCCUUACUUCCUCCCCAGCAUCCCUUACUUCUCUCCCGCAUCCACUUCCUGGCUGGGGUGUUUCCUCUGGGGAGCUAGCACUUCCACAUUAAGAGAGUAGAAGACAGAAGAAAGAAAAAAGACUCAGUAGAACUAAACGCAGAACUUGGGUGCUCAGAGGCUGUCGGUACGUUUGAGCUGGACCAGAAAGGACCCCUCACUUUCCACACAAGACCCGAGGGCCCUGAAGAUCAGAACUCCCACCCCUCCCCCAGCUCUUAUUAACCAACAGCUUCACCAGAGGGGUAAAGAAAGAAAUGACGCAUCCCUGGCAUGGCGAAGUGGGAAGGAGAGAGGGGGUAAAAAUACUUCUUCCCACUCAGCUGGCGUAUGGGAAGAAGAGGCCCCGAGAACAGCUGCUUGCUGGCAAGCUAAAGGAAAAGGCAGAACGCGGUCUGGUUCCUUCCUUUGGACUGUGCGUUGGCUUUUUCACCUAAUAGUCAGAUUUGUUUACAGGCACGUGGGCUCUCAGAUGUCCCUGACCUUUCAGACGUUACAGACACAGCCCAGGGCGCCACAGUUAAUCUAAGGAAGCAAUUCUAAGCACUUUCCUAACUCUCUGGCUAUUCAUAGCCUUUAUAAAAGGCAGGGGUUGGACACCCUAAUAAGUAAGGUCUAGCACCUAAGUGCACAGAUAACGAUUAAAAACAGGGAUCUGCCGCCCCGGUUUAGCUGGGCGAGGGGGCAGGGGAGAGGUGCCAGUCACGCCUACAGCACAAGGAGGAGGAGAAAGCAGAAAAGGGGGCUCAAUCGUGUGCUCUGGGCAGAGACCACAUUCGUGUGAAGGGAGGGAUCAGGUGGGCGUAGAGUUACUGCAGGGCUGCACCUCGGCCACCCCGCCAAGGCGACGAUACAGCAGCCCCUCCUGUAAGCCUGGUGCUGCAGCUGGGGAGCUGGGGCCAGAGCACCCCCGCAUGCAGCGAUGCAGCACCGUGCCGACGGCUGCAGCCCGGGCUGCCUGCGGCACCGGCACCGGCCUGCUCACAUCUGCUGUUCACCGUCAACACCCGUGCAGCUGCGCACGGUGCCGAGUGCUCUCCGGAGCCCCGUGAGUGUGUGUUCACAAAGGCUAAGCUAGAAGAUGACUUUGAAUGCACAGGCGAUGUUUCCUGAGGCAGGCUACUGAAAUCUCUCUCCUCGGGAUGGCUAUGACCACAUGCUGCCUGCACUGUCUCGCUCUUCUGUUACCACAUCUCUGGUUUUGCCCUCAGCACCUCGGCUGCCGUUUCUGUCAAGUUUAACCCAGCCCCACCCAGGACUGCACAUGAUAACUGCUUUCCACCAAUGUUCCCAUCAAGGAAGAUACCACGACAGCGAUUCAUUCCUAGAGAGAAUUAUCUGUGCACUUAAGGGUUACCCGAUCUGCUGUGUUUUGGGGACUUCCAAUAUGCCAAGGUCAGGAACCCCUCUGAUGCUGUGAUUUAUACAGUAUAUGCUAGCCAAUGUGCUUUAGUGCCAUGAUUGCCAUAAAAUAGUCCCUCUGUGGGUGAUGCUACCUCUCAUGUGAGCGGUUUCGCCCAAAUGGAAAACCUACCUAGGAAAGACAGUUAGACUUUCCAGGUAUUUAAGCAAUAGUUAAAUUGGUAUUGUAUUUCAUUCUUAAAAUUGAAAAUGCAGUUUUCAUUUUCAGUGCACUCCGAAGUUAUUCACUAAUGAUAUGCUGCAGUUUUUAAGCAGAGAUGAUAUAUUAAAUCACUUUAUGAAUGAUUUUUUUAAACACAGACGUUGACUAAAAUGCUGUACAGUAAGUCCCCUACAUACGAACCUUCAAGUUGUAAACUUUCAAAGAUGCGACCGUGCAUUCCAUCACCAUCAGGCAUGAGUGAAAUUAAACCUCGCCCUCCGUCUGCUAUUGCUGAUGACCCUUCAGCUCUACCGUCUCCCACCUCCUCUCCCUCCCCCAGUCAGUAACUCUUCUUGCCUGUUCACUCGAUGCCAGCCCCUGUGUGCCAGCUGUUGUACUGUACUACUGUACUUUUCAAGGUACUAUACUGUAAGAUUAAAAAAUGUUUAUUUUUUGUUUGUUUUUUUAUGUAUUAUUUAUGUGAAAAGUAUUAUAAACCUAUUACAGUACAGUACUAUAUAGCCAAUUGUGUUAGUUGGCUACCUAGGCUAACUUUGUUGGACUUACGAACGAAUUGGACAAACCCCCUCUCGGAACCGAACUCACACGUAUGUAGGGGACUUACUGUAAAUAGUUUGGCUGUAGAAUUCUUGACUACGCCUGGCUUAGGGAUCUUUAAUAUGCAAUUUUUCAGACAUUGGAAGUUUUUAAAUGUUUUGUACCUGCUGCGCCCCAGAGUUAGGGACUCUGCAUUGCUCUCCUACUCUAGGUUUACACUAGAGCUUUGGCAUGUGUCAAAUGAAACCGAAGUUCGGCAUUGCUUUUCUUCAAAACAUUCUAUUGUGCAGAAUAAACUCUUACGGGAACAAGAAUGUUAAUUAUGUAAUAAUUUCACUAGACAAGCAAAGAGCAAUUCUAAUCUAAGUAAUGUCUCCUUAUACCUCCCUUUUAUGACAUAAACACAGUGGCGAUUUUGAAUGCACUUACCAAGGAUGUUCUCUAUGGUUUAGGUGAAAGCCAUUCAGCUGCUCCAGGCAAGGACAGCAGUAAGUAACAGCUGUGUCUGUGCUGGCGUCACGGGUAUAAUGCCUGGGUCACAGGGGUGAGAACUGAUUCUGCUGGGCUGGUGCUUCAUGGGAUGCUUCUGUCUCUUGGUGCCCACCCCUUCCCCGGGCCACCUUUGUUAAGUAUGAUUUGGCUCAAACCUGAUUCAAAGUGGUCCUCCUGGUGUGUACGCACUUGUUCAAUAAUAUGAGACAACAUUUUCUUCUCCUCUCCUUGCCAGGUGCAUGACACUGCUUUGGACUUUCUAGGAUGUAGGAGAAAAGAAAUCUUUUAAAAUAUAAAAUAAUCAAUUCUUUGGAAAACUGAGUUGGGCUGCGUUCUUGCUGAAUGUUCUUAUUGUUGACUACUCAAAUACCAAGAUUUUUUUUUUUGCAUUUGGUUAAUUAAAAAUUUGCAAAUUCACUUCUCUUUUCCUAACUUUAUUGAGGUAAAAUUGACAUGUAAAAUUAUAAGAUAGUUAAAGUGUACCAAUUCGAUAAUUAGAUAUACGUGUAUAUUGUGAAAGGAUUCCCCCAUUAAUUAACACACCCAUCACCUCACAUAUUUACCCCCCCUUUUUUAUUUUUGGUGAGAACAUCUAAGUUCUAGUCUCUUAGCAAAUUUCAUUCACACAGUACAGUGUUAUCAACUGUGGUCACCACAUUACCUGUUAUGUCCUCAGACUUUAUUCAUCUUAUAACUGAAAGAUUUUUACUCUUUACAGACCUCUCCCUAUUUUCCCCAACCUCAGCCCCUGGCAUCCACUUUUCAACUCCCUGCUUCUAUAGGUUUGACUGUUCUUUUCUUUUAGAUUCCACAAAUAAGUGAUGCCACUCCGUCUUUCUCUGUCUGGCUUAUUUCACUUAGCAUAAUGCCCUCCAGUUUCGCCAUGUUGCUGCGAAUGAUAGGAUUUCCUUCCCUUUUAAAGGCCGAAUAGUAUUCCAUUGUAUAUAUACAUACACAUUUUCUGGAUCCAUUCGUCCAUUGGUUGACAGACGUUUGGUUGUUUCCCUACCUCGGCUAUUUAAUGCUGCAAUGAAAAUGGGGGUAUAGCUAUCUCUUCAAGAUAAUGGUUUCAUUGCCUUUAGAUACCCAGAAGUGGACUUGCUGGAUCAUACGGUAGUUCUAUGUUUAAUUUUUUGAGGCACCUCAAAAAAUUGUUUUCCAUAUUGGCUGCACCAGUUUACAUUCCCACCAACAGUGUAGGAAGGGUCCCUUUCCUCCACAUCUUCACCAGCAAGUCUACUUCUUUUUUAAAAAAAUUUUUAUUGGGAUAGAGUUGAUUUACAAUGUCGUGUUAGAUUCAGGUGUACGGCAAAGUGAAUCAGUUAUACGCACACAUACAGCCACUCUUUUUUAGAUUCUUUAGAUUCUUUCCCAUAUAGGUCAUUCCAGAGUACUGAGUAGAGUUCUCUGUGCUAUACAGUAGGUCCUUAUUAGUUAUCUACUUCUUGUUCAUUGUUAAAUUCACUGUAAAUGAAGGCUUUUACAAUUAAAAUGAGAUUUGUUUCCAUCUAAAGAAAGAGGCAAGAGUGCCUGCAAAACUGAAACAUGGCCCGUGCGAGCAGAGCAGAGUGACAGGACUGGCUGGCUCGCCCAGAAAUUCUGCCCCUUGCUUUUCUUCAUGCCCUUAUUUCCUCCCAUCUGGCCUUUUCUCCUGUCCUUGGCUUUCUCAGAAAAAGUCGUCAUCAUCCUCAUCACCACCAUCACCAUCACCACUGACAACCACAGAUACAUAUUUAAUAAAAUAGCAAUGAAUAGCGAGUCUCCUCCAGAAGAGAAACAGAACACGUGAACACACAGUAAUUCAGGUUAGUAUGAGCCAGUAAGUGGCACACAAGCAUAUCUAUUUUCUAAAUUCCAGUCUCCCAGCCCUUUAAGUUGCUGAAAAAUACUCAGUAAGCACUCUUGGAACACGGGUACAAAUCUUACUGGGUUUGUAGCCUGCGACCUGCACUGGUGGGUACAAAAUCCACGCGCUUCAACUUUGUGAGCAGACAGGAGCGUUUCCAAAGUUAAUUCAAUUAGAGGACAGAAAAUUGAAAGCAUCCAAAACGAUUUCCCUAACCUCUUCAAGUAUGCUUGAGUAAUAUGUAAUUUAAGCACUUCUCGUCGUGAGUUAAAACAUAUUUAACACUUAUAAAAUCUUAAAAGUCAAGAUUUAAAAUGUGUGGCUUUGCUGAACAUACAUCAAAUUUACAGGCAUUGAAGGCCUGCCUGCCAUCAAUUAAUGAUGGCAAAACAGCUAAAGAUGUUUUAUCAGUAUCUGUUUGCUAAAAGGAAAAAUCUGUCUACUCAAUUAGCACAGACACAGAAAAUGAAAGUGAUGUUGCUAAUGCCUUUGUUGGAGUUAUCCCUACAAUCUGGGUUUUGUUUAAAUCAAAUAGUAUGCUGUAAUCAAUUUUAGCCCAUUUUAAAAUGCAUGUGUUAUGAUCAAUCAAAACCUUUUUUUUUUUUUUUUUUGUGGUACGCAGGCCUCUCACUGUUGCAGCCUCUCCCAUUGCGGAGCACAGGCUCCAGACAUGCAGGCUCAGCGGCCAUGGCUCACGGGCCCAGCCGCUCCGUGGCAUAUGGGAUCUUCCCGGACCGGGACACGAACCCAUGUCCCCUGCAUCAGCAGGCAGACUCUCAACCACUGCGCCACCAGGGAAGCCCUCAAAACCAUUUUUAGUGCUAUUUCAGGAAAGAAAAUAAUUCUGAACAUCAGAGAAAUUUUUUUAUUGGCACCAGAAGCAUCACCUCGAACGCAUACGAUGUAGGACCUAAAGCUCUUAUAAAAUUAUAUUUCCUGGGAGUGCCAUGGUGGCCUAGUGGUUAGGAUUCCCGGCUUUCACUGCUGGGGCCCGGGUUCAAUCCCUGGUUGGGGAACUGAGCUCCUGCAAGUUGCACGGCCAAAAAAAAAAAAAACCUUAUAUUUCCAAUUAGGAAAUCAAUAACCAUAACACAUAAGUAGUUAAGUUGAUCUUGGUCUGAAACUUGCCUUCUUCAAUUCACUUAGAAGCCCUGUAUGUCAUGAGAAGGCUCUAGUGAUUUAUUUUGUCAAAAUGACCUGAAAUCAUCUCCUUCACUAACACCACUUCACAGAUUUAAUAAGCAAAAUGCAUAAAAACCACAAUCAGUGACAAUGGUCAGAACAGAGUUAACUUGUGCUAGUAAUUUACUAUUUGAUUCCUAUAUAGAGUAGGUCAGUUUUAAAAGUAAUAUUUUAAAAUAGUGUAUGUUCCACUGACAUGAGGUACUAGACAAAUUCAUAGAGACAGAAAGUAGAAUGGUGGUUAGCAGGGGCUGGGGGCAGGGUAAAUGGCGAGGUUUUGUUUUACGAGUAUAGUUUCAGUUCAGGGUGAUCAACAGUUCUGGAGAUGGAUGGUGGUGAUAGUUGUAUAACAAUGUGAAUGUAUUUAACACCAUAGAGCUGUACGCUUAAAAAUGGUUAAAACUGUAAAUUUUGUUAUGUAUGUUUUACCACAAUAAAAAAUAAAACUAAAAAAUUCA
This is an RNA transcript of Orcinus orca (killer whale), 9831 nucleotides long. It is a transcript of the gene named aspartate beta-hydroxylase, with no coding region annotated. The record is from RefSeq and is a predicted model, not a curated record. The transcript is spliced from 31 exons. Lineage: Eukaryota; Metazoa; Chordata; Mammalia; Artiodactyla; Delphinidae.